RNAcentral lists this long non-coding RNA (610 nucleotides) under Capsella grandiflora. Its description in RNAcentral is "long non-coding RNA (CGRA_LNC000014)". The record is from RNAcentral. Lineage: Eukaryota; Viridiplantae; Streptophyta; Magnoliopsida; Brassicales; Brassicaceae.
GAAACGAGAAAUUGAAGUGAGAAUCAAGGUCCUCGCACAUCGCAUUACGAACGAUAUAAACGAAGAAUCUUCCUUGGUGAUCAAAGUGUUACCUUCUUCUUCGAUUUGGGGAUUUCUGAUUUUUUUGGGUUUCCGUUGAGAAGUUAUGAAUUUUUAUUUCUUUGAGAAAACUGCCACUCGCACGUGUGUUAUCGGCACGUUCCCAACACGCGAUAUUGUGCUGUAAAUUUUACGGCCCAUUAUGAACGGCCCAAAUCUGUUUCGAACCGGACACUUUAAAGAACCAACAAAAUUGUCAUAAUUUUCAGUAAAUUAUCGGUGAUCCCGGGUUGAAUGGAUUUUUUUUUCAGUAAAGUGAAUAAUUUAAACCUAUAGAAUCAUUUUUAUCUAAAUAAAACCAACAAAAUUGACACAAAUUUAAUUAUUCGUAUAACCUAAUGUUUAUGCAAUUGAUUAAUUAUGAUAUGCAUGUAGCACAAACAACUGCAAAAAAACCUCAACUUGAGACUUGAGUGAUAUAACUAAAUAGUAGUAUAUCUUUAUUAUGCAAUCAUAUACAUUCUGACAUUCAUAUGAUAUUUCUUAAAAACUACUUUUUUUUUUUGGGCAA